UGGCGAACGGGUGAGUAACACGUGGGUGAUCUGCCCUGCACUCUGGGAUAAGCCUGGGAAACUGGGUCUAAUACCGGAUAGGACCAUGCUUUAGUGUGUGUGGUGGAAAGUUUUUUCGGUGUAGGAUGAGCCCUCGGCCUAUCAGCUUGUUGGUGGGGUAAUGGCCUACCAAGGCGGCGACGGGUAGCCGGACUGAGAGGUUGGUCGGCCACAUUGGGACUGAGAUACGGCCCAG
Molecule: ribosomal RNA, 235 nt
Filed under: uncultured Actinomycetales bacterium
Lineage: Bacteria; Bacillati; Actinomycetota; Actinomycetes; Actinomycetales
Description: partial 16S ribosomal RNA
Rfam family: Bacterial small subunit ribosomal RNA
Source: RNAcentral